This 1476-nucleotide long non-coding RNA is filed under the name Nicotiana tabacum (common tobacco). RNAcentral describes it as "long non-coding RNA (NTAB_LNC017182)". Lineage: Eukaryota; Viridiplantae; Streptophyta; Magnoliopsida; Solanales; Solanaceae. The record is from RNAcentral.
ACGUUAAAAACGUUAGGUUUAUACACUCCCAUAAGCUCCUCCUUUGGAAGAGAAUAGAAAACAAGCAACUUAUGACUACACACUUCAUUGACGAGACACAAAAGAAAAAACAACACGUUAAUUUUCAAAAGGUUUUGACAAGAUCGAUUUUAUAUUUCUUCAUCACAGACCGUGCUUAUUUUCAAGGAAAAUAAUACUUGUUUUGCAAACAUCUGGAUUAAAUUUUUUUGUUUUUGUUUUCUGAUGAACUUAAUAUUGAGGGUUUUAUUUGGUUAUAUUUCGGGUGGUUAUUAAAUUUUUUGGUGUGUAAUUUGGUGAUAGUUUUAUUAGAAAACUCACAUUUGUGUUUUGUUGAUGUGCAGGCAGGUUCUAAGUGUAGAUGUGAGAAGAAAAAGGUGAAAAGGUCCAAGAAUAUACAAAUGAUAGGAAAGAAGAGUUUUUGAUAAUUGAAUACAACAUUUUAGAAGUAAAAUGGUGACAAUGAAUGAAGAUUCAAGCAAUGGAUAGUAGGAUUUAGAGGUUGGAGCUAAAGUUUCUCUCUAGAAACAUAUGCUCCAACUUCAACAGAUGAUAUCUUCCAAUAUAUAAGAAUUUUAUCAUUAUUCUUAUGGAAAAAUGUAUCUUUGAGUCUAGUUUCCCACAGUUCAAACGGCUCGUCAUUUCGACUCUCCUACAUAAAGUUAUGGUAUUUUUACCGGACACUGCCAUAGAUGCGCAACCACAUACGCGUCCAAGUUUCCAGGUGCGCGGCCGCGCACAUACGUCUCCGAAAAAUAUUAAUCAGGCCUAUUAUUGUAAAUACGAGGCAAUCCCCUGGACCUAUAUGAAGCAAAGUGUAGAUGUGAGAAGAAAAAAGUGAAAAGGUCCAAGAAUAUACAAAAGAUAGCAAAAGAGAGUUUUUGAUGAUUGAAUACGAUGUUUUAGAAGUCAAAUGAUGACAAUAAAUGAAGAUUCAAGCAAUGGAUGGCAAGAUUUAGAGAUUGAAGCUAAAGUUUCUCUCUAGAAAUAUAUGAUCCUUUAACAGAUGAUAUCUCCCAAUAUACAAGAAUUUUUAUCUUUCUCAUUGAAAUAUAGAUCUUUGAGUCUAGUUUCCAACAGUUCAAACGGCUCAUCGUUUCGACCCUCGUACACAAAGUUAUGAUAUUUUUACUAGACACUGCCAUAGAUGCGUGCCAAAGUUUCCAGGUGCGCGACCAUAUACAUACGUCUGGAAAAAAUAUUAAUCAGGCUUAUGUUAAAUACGGGGUAAUCCCCUGGACCUAUAUGAAUCCUAAGCUCGUCCCAAACUAGGUAUCUUGGAUUUUGGAGUAACUUUUGGAAAGAAGAAGGCAAGGAAACAUCAUAGACUUUGAAUACUUCAUCCGAAUCAUUCAAAACGAAAGUUUAUUUGAAUUCGUGGGUUGUAAUAUUUUCUUGUUUUCUUAAUUCUCUUGUGAUGAACAAUUUUUCUACUAUGAAGUAGUCUUUCUUAGGGUU